Long non-coding RNA from Brienomyrus brachyistius, 978 nucleotides. RefSeq lists it as uncharacterized. The record is from RefSeq and is a predicted model, not a curated record. Lineage: Eukaryota; Metazoa; Chordata; Actinopteri; Osteoglossiformes; Mormyridae. The transcript is spliced from 3 exons.
UUAAGAACAGAGAUACUAAUGCGGUGGGUGUCCAGCCUGUUUCACUUUCCUAUGUGCCUAUGUGUGUGGUGUUAUUUACUAACAAGGAAAGACUGAUUACCAUGAAGGCCACGAUAACACCUCUAGCAAAGGAAUAUCCACCAUAAUUCAUGUGCUGCGAAGCAGAUUACACACACUUGCAGGCACGGUUUUAAACUUGGCGGCUCAUACUUAACGAUCCUGUAAUGGGAAAAGAAACGCGUCUUGUUUUUUCUCGCCGGUGUUAACGAGCAUUAUUACCGUCAUACGAGCGCUCGGCAGAGCAGUGCAUAGUAAAUCCUUAAUUAUGUUUUAUUUGUAAACACUUCGGGCCUGGCACUAAAUCCACUGCAUAACACGAUUUCACUACGCUAUUGUAAUCCAAGAGGAGCAUUAGCGCGCUUUCAACUCCUGAUCACAGCUGGGGUGCGAUUCACGGAGCGGCCUGCCGAAGACAGUAGUUACAAGUUCCCAAGCUGGUUGGAGAAAGCCAACGUUCAGCAUGUCACCUGAGAGUUUGGGGGGUGUCUGCCAGCUCUCUGACCUUUCAACACAGUGCUGGAGAUCCUGCUUCCUUUAUGCUCCCUGUGAGACUUUCCAUAAAGAAGUCACUAUACUGUACUUCUCUCUCAGCACUGAGCAGAGAGGCGAUAAGAUAAGUGAAUACAUAUUUACAGUGUGAGCCUCACCUUGGGUCUUUCAGUGUCAACAAACCGAAAGAGUAACCAUGCCAAAGGGAAAUAAAGCUAUUGGUAUGUCAAAAUGAUGGCUGUGGAGCUCUUUCUCAGCCAUCCUCUUGUUCGUAAGAAAGAUGAUUUACUGUGUUCGCAGCCCUGGGGAGCCUGUUGCAUUUCGACAAGCUUUAAUCUCAUGGUGUGAUAGAUGGCGGUACAUUGCAGGUGGACAGGGCAGGCUGACUCCCGAGGCUUGUCCUAGUGCAGGUCUGUGUGUGUUCACAGG